Molecule: non-coding RNA, 72 nt
Organism: Phrynosoma platyrhinos (Desert horned lizard)
Lineage: Eukaryota; Metazoa; Chordata; Lepidosauria; Squamata; Phrynosomatidae
Source: the annotation of a GenBank genome assembly
GCCAGGGUGGCAUGGAGGUUUGAGUGUUGGCCUACCACUCUGGAGACCAGCGUUCGAAUCCCAGCUCAGCCA